Molecule: ribosomal RNA, 252 nt
Filed under: uncultured bacterium
Lineage: Bacteria
Description: partial 16S ribosomal RNA
Rfam family: Bacterial small subunit ribosomal RNA
Source: RNAcentral
UACGGAGGGGCUAGCGUUGUUCGGAAUUACUGGGCGUAAAGCGCACGUAGGCGGAUCAGUCAGUCAGAGGUGAAAUCCCGGAGCUCAACUUCGGAACUGCCUUUGAUACUGCUGAUCUAGAGUCCGGGAGAGGUGCAUGGAAUUCCGAGUGUAGAGGUGAAAUUCGUAGAUAUUCGGAGGAACACCAGAGGCGAAGGCGAUGCACUGGACCGGUACUGACGCUGAGGUGCGAAAGCGUGGGGAGCAAACAGG